UCCGCGAUAUCUCAGUUGGUAGAGCAUCUGCCCGGUAAGCGGAGUGUCACCGGUUCGACUCCGGUUCGCGGCU
RNAcentral lists this transfer RNA (73 nucleotides) under Fasciola hepatica (liver fluke). It matches the Rfam family "tRNA". From Rfam's summary of the family: Transfer RNA (tRNA) molecules are approximately 80 nucleotides in length. Their secondary structure includes four short double-helical elements and three loops (D, anti-codon, and T loops). Lineage: Eukaryota; Metazoa; Platyhelminthes; Trematoda; Plagiorchiida; Fasciolidae. The record is from Rfam by way of RNAcentral.